CAAAGGUGCUCCAGAAGCUCUGGGCACUGUGGGCGAGCACGGGGGUGGUGGCACAAGGGGCUGUGGAUAAAGCAGCGAGACUGGGCAGGGGAGGAAUGUCCCCCGCAGGAAAGCCACGGCCUGGCAGCAGGCUGCUGCACACUCGGGGUGCAGGAUGCCGUGGCUUUCCCGCAGAGUGUCGGGGCUGUCCUUGCUGCCACCAGAAGGCUCACUCUGGGGGAGAAAGGUCGUGGAACAGCUGAAUGCAGGCAGAAACCUGUCCCGGCCACAUCCUCCAGCCUGCGCCUCUCUGCGCGAUUUUUUGGGGAAGUAGAAGAACUUUUUUAGCCUUGCUUUACAUCAGCAACGCAGAGCAUCGAGCACGAAGGACUUGGAGGGAGCCUCAGCGGCAGCGAGCAGCGCAUCCCUGCCUGUGCCGGGAGCUCUGGAGCGGCCGGGAAGCUUGCGGGGAGCUGGACGGCCGCGGGAUGGCGUCGGGCGGCUUGCGAAGCGCAGGACGGCGCUUGGUGAGCGGCGGCGACACCGCCCGGAGGGCUCCGAUCCGCGCUGCCCCGCAGCUGCUGCUGCCAGAAGCUUCUGAUGUUUUCUUCCUUUUCGCGUACAAGAGCUCCAUAAAUGCUCUGUGUCCCAGAGAGGUUGUGACUGGUCUGGGGGCUGCUGGUCAGACCUCUCUGCAGAGGCCACUGGACCUGAGAGCAUCGAGGGGCACAUCAGGACCAGGCCCUGACUGCCAGACCAGAAGGAUCCCUGGGGUUGCCUGA
This 761-nucleotide long non-coding RNA is filed under the name Chloebia gouldiae (Gouldian finch). RNAcentral describes it as "Erythrura gouldiae (Gouldian finch) lncRNA (ENSEGOG00005016634.1)". Lineage: Eukaryota; Metazoa; Chordata; Aves; Passeriformes; Passeridae. The record is from RNAcentral.